Molecule: microRNA, 21 nt
Filed under: Panagrellus redivivus
Lineage: Eukaryota; Metazoa; Nematoda; Chromadorea; Rhabditida; Panagrolaimidae
Description: prd-miR-7950b-5p
Source: miRBase by way of RNAcentral
GUUCACCUUUUGCGCCGUUAA